GUAAAAGCUUUGAUAAGGAAAAGUAAAUUGGGUAAGUAUUAUAUAGAGAGCCUCUGUUGGUGGAAAUGAGGUAAAUGCCCCCUUUUGAAAAUGACCUUUGAGCUUCGUACCGAAAGCAAGUUUGCGAGUAGAUUACGACGAGAUGGGCACUCGUUACAACAGCGGCAGUAUCUUUCAUUCCUUUUAAGAUGGAACGUACUGAUGGAGGCAAAUAGUGUGAGCUAUUUGUAAAUAUAGGUGGUAACACGGGUAUACUCGUCCUAAUC
RNAcentral lists this non-coding RNA (266 nucleotides) under Lysinibacillus xylanilyticus. RNAcentral describes it as "T-box sequence". It matches the Rfam family "T-box leader". From Rfam's summary of the family: Uncharged tRNA acts as the effector for transcription antitermination of genes in the T-box leader family. T-boxes are found upstream of many aminoacyl-tRNA synthetase genes and some amino acid biosynthetic genes usually in Gram-positive bacteria. The anticodon of a specific tRNA base pairs to a specifier sequence within the T-box motif, and the NCCA acceptor tail of the tRNA base pairs to a conserved bulge in the T-box antiterminator hairpin. The record is from RNAcentral. Lineage: Bacteria; Bacillati; Bacillota; Bacilli; Caryophanales; Bacillaceae.